This 406-nucleotide ribosomal RNA is filed under the name uncultured bacterium. Its description in RNAcentral is "partial 16S ribosomal RNA". It matches the Rfam family "Bacterial small subunit ribosomal RNA", at positions 28 to 526 of the family's 1533-position model. The record is from RNAcentral.
GAUGAACGCUGGCGGCAGGCUUAACACAUGCAAGUCGAGCGAGCGGCGGACGGGUGAGUAAUGUCUGGGAAACUGCCUGCUGGAGGGGGAUAAAUACUGGAAACGGUAGCUACUACCUCAUAGCAUAAGAUGUUCUCAGAUUGGAUUAGCUAGUAGGUGGGGUAAUGGCUCACCUAGGCGACGAUCCCUAGCUGGUCUGAGAGGAUGACCAGCCACCCUGGAACUGAGACACGGUCCAGACUCCUACGGGAGGCAGCAGUGAGGAAUAUUGCACAAUGGGCGCAAGCCUGAUACAGCCAUGCCGCGUGUGUGAAGAAGGCCUUCGGGUUGUAAAGCACUUUCAGCGAGGAGGCGUUACUCGCAGAAGAAGCACCGGCUAACUCCGUGCCAGCCGCCGCGGUAAUAC